UGGGGAAUUUUGGACAAUGGGGGCAACCCUGAUCCAGCCAUCCCGCGUGUGCGAUGAAGGCCUUCGGGUUGUAAAGCACUUUUGGCAGGGAAGAAACAGCCUGGGAUAAUACCCCGGGCGACUGACGGUACCUGCAGAAUAAGCACCGGCUAACUACGUGCCAGCAGCCGCGGUAAUACGUAGGGUGCAAGCGUUAAUCGGAAUUACUGGGCGUAAAGCGUGCGCAGGCGGUUCGGAAAGAAAGGUGUGAAAUCCCAGGGCUUAACCUUGGAACUGCACUUUUAACUACCGAGCUAGAGUACGUCAGAGGGGGGUAGAAUUCCACGUGUAGCAGUGAAAUGCGUAGAGAUGUGGAGGAAUACCGAUGGCGAAGGCAGCCCCCUGGGAUGAUACUGACGCUCAUGCACGAAAGCGUGGGGAGCAAACAGGAUUAGAUACCCUGGUAGUCCACGCCCUAAACGAUGUCAACUAGCUGUUGGGGUUUAUUAACCUUAGUAGCGCAGCUAACGCGUGAAGUUGACCGCCUGGGGAGUGCGGUCGCAAAGAUUAAAACUCAAAUGAAUUGACGGGGUCAU
This 575-nucleotide ribosomal RNA is filed under the name uncultured bacterium. RNAcentral's name for it is "partial 16S ribosomal RNA". It matches the Rfam family "Bacterial small subunit ribosomal RNA", at positions 355 to 922 of the family's 1533-position model. The record is from RNAcentral.